UCGGCAGCAGCGGAGGAAAUCGGGAAGAACAGCGACGUGAAUUGGGAGAUUUUGGGUGCUGAAAAAUUGGAUUAAAUUAGGUUUAAUCUGCGAUUUAAUUAUCCAGUUUGUAUAGUUUUUACUACUUUUGGACCAAACGAGCCUAAGGAUAUCUCUGAUAAGGUAAGGGUAAAGCGAAGGCCGAGGGCGAGGAUCGCACCACCUAGCAGCCAGCCGUGUUGGUAAGAUGUACAGCUAGCUGCCCCCGUCAUCUCUGAUGUUUUGCUAGAGUCGUUGUCUUUUAUUUUUUACUGUGCCAGGUUGUCAUUUGUACCUUCUAUUGUUGGUGUUAAUGUAUUGUAACCUGUACAAUCGGCCAAACCAACCAAGAGCAAGCGCGGUAAAAAUAGAAACAGAAAACGAACGCAAGAACACAACGAUAUACGUGUUCGGAUCAAUAGAUCCUACUCACGGUAGAGGCUCCGCCUCUAGUCAAUCCACUAAUAGCUUUCGGUUACAACCAGAUUACAAGAUCACAAG
This is a long non-coding RNA of Diospyros lotus (date-plum), 519 nucleotides long. RefSeq lists it as uncharacterized. Lineage: Eukaryota; Viridiplantae; Streptophyta; Magnoliopsida; Ericales; Ebenaceae. The record is from RefSeq and is a predicted model, not a curated record. The transcript is spliced from 3 exons.